ACAAGACCCUACUACCCUUUGUGUAUCUAUUAUCUAUGCUACUAGGGCAGACUAGGCCCACAGUCAGGAUAUGAAAUGUCGAGCGUCGGCGACACCUAAGUUUACCCCACGUAAGUUUUUUUAAAUUACAAAAAAUCGGCAUUACCGACAUACUAGGCGACAUACAUUUUAGUGAAACGACAACAGAUGAUGCGCCGGCGGUUGCAAUUACUGGCGGAAUUCCCUACUAGUUAUAGCGUAUACUGAGUAAUAGUAGUUUCAUAACUUAUUUUUAAAAUUUUUGUGAGAAGUACUUUUACCUAUCCUGAAAUUCUGGUUAGAAAGGAAAGAGUAUUUUCUGUCCCCAUUAAAAGAUGAAAAAGUACUGUAUCCACUGAAAACAUAUGGGGGAAAAAGCAGAAUUGUUUCAACUACAGAAAGUACCCUCACAAUGGACAAUACAAUAUUUUUGCAGUUUCUGAAACGUUAGCACCCCUUGUAGAAGCAGGAAGCAGUACUAAAUUAGGUAAAGAACAAUUUCUUUGUUCAUACAAAUAUACCUGUCUUCAUCAUCAUCAUCAUCA
Molecule: long non-coding RNA, 563 nt
Organism: Agrilus planipennis (emerald ash borer)
Lineage: Eukaryota; Metazoa; Arthropoda; Insecta; Coleoptera; Buprestidae
Exons: 3
Source: RefSeq, a predicted model, not a curated record